UGGGGGAUAUUGCACAAUGGGCGCAAGCCUGAUGCAGCGACGCCGCGUGGGGGAUGAAGGCCUUCGGGUUGUAAACUUCUUUUGCUCUGAACAAGGCGCAUUUUGGGGUGUGUUGAGUGUAGGGGUUGAUUAGCGCCGGCUAACUACGUGCCAGCAGCCGCGGUAAUACGUAGGGCGCGAGCGUUGUCCGGAAUUAUUGGGCGUAAAGGGCUUGUAGGUGGCUGGUUGCGUCUGUCGUGAAAGCUCAUGGCUUAACUGUGGGUUUGCGGUGGGUACGGGCUGGCUUGAGUGCAGUAGGGGAGGCUGGAAUUCCUGGUGUAGCGGUGGAAUGCGCAGAUAUCAGGAGGAAUACCGGUGGCGAAGGCGGGUCUCUGGGCUGUUACUGACACUGAGGAGCGAAAGCAUGGGGAGCGAACAGG
Molecule: ribosomal RNA, 419 nt
Filed under: bacterium
Lineage: Bacteria
Description: partial 16S ribosomal RNA
Rfam family: Bacterial small subunit ribosomal RNA
Source: RNAcentral